GGAGAGAUGGCCGAGUUUGGUUGAAGGCGCUCGACUCGAAAUCGAGUAGGCGGUUAGCAGCUGCCUCGGGGGUUCGAAUCCCUCUCUCUCCGCCA
RNAcentral lists this transfer RNA (95 nucleotides) under Bacillota bacterium. Its description in RNAcentral is "Firmicutes bacterium (hot springs metagenome) tRNA-Ser". It matches the Rfam family "tRNA". Rfam says of the family: Transfer RNA (tRNA) molecules are approximately 80 nucleotides in length. Their secondary structure includes four short double-helical elements and three loops (D, anti-codon, and T loops). Lineage: Bacteria; Bacillati; Bacillota. The record is from RNAcentral. RNAcentral also lists the same sequence under 1 other name.